Molecule: long non-coding RNA, 1378 nt
Organism: Cucumis melo (muskmelon)
Lineage: Eukaryota; Viridiplantae; Streptophyta; Magnoliopsida; Cucurbitales; Cucurbitaceae
Exons: 5
Source: RefSeq, a predicted model, not a curated record
AAAAGAGAAAAGAAAAGAAAAAGGAUUCAACUCUCUUCUUUCUCCUUCCCGAUUCUUCUAGAAACGCCGACCGCCCCCUCCUAUUGAAAUUUCUCUUCUGCCAACCAUCUCUCUUACAUGCCGGCAAUGACCUCUCUCUGGCGCCUGACGACAACUGCACGCUGAUGAAUCCCAACUAUCCCGGCCAUAGUGCGCCUCUCGCCUCGCCGGACUAGGAAAAAAAAAGACAUAAGGUUCGUUGUACUCGAACUUGAGAUGUGAUACUAAGAUGAAAAGGCUGUUGUUGCCAACUCGAGUAUUAGUCUCUUUUGCCUCUGAGAGCCAUCACUUCCGUUGAAGAUGAAAAGCCUGUUGUUGCCUCUUCUCAAACCAUUAUCAACAAGACUUUAGAGGAUCCUAAAGUUUUUCGUAAGGAUUUGAGUAUUAUUCCAAAUAAGAACUCUUAUCUGCAACUGAUCUUCAUUCUCCAAAUGAUGGUUCCAAAGUUUAAGUUGCAUAUCAGGGUUUACCAGGAACAUUUUAAGAAGAAUCCACUCACAAUCAAGUAUCCUAUGCUCUUAGCCAAAGUCCCCUUGCACUUCCUUACAAAUCCUUAUUGAACUCAAGUUCGUGGUGAAUCACUAAAAAUCUUUGAAAUUCUUUCCAUCUCUUUGUUAAGUGGACAUAAGUGAGAAUCAUCCAACAUCAAAACAUCAUGUGUGGAAACUGUCACAUCUUAUCCUAAAUUCAGUUUGACUGCAAAGUCAAAUCAACUCACCAACCUUAUGACAUCAGCUACUUCCAAAUGAAGGAAGCUCAUAUCACAUUCCAGUCAAUCGUAUAGAUCCUUCUCAUGGUGUAGCUAGGACACGAAAUGCAAGUUACUUUGCAAACCCUCCAAUCACCAACUUUCGUCGUACAACUAUCUCAUCGCAUAGAUGAUUUUUAUCGAUCGAGUAGUUCAGAACGCGAUUAAGGUAUGACGUCUGGCCUAGUUACAAUCACAUACUUAGAACCUUAAUGACAAACUUAUGAUAUAACAAAGCAUGAACAACAAGCAAGCAGUUAACUGGGCACAACAAUUGAUUUUGAUCUCCAGGUAACAAAUGUUCCAUAAACCGUCAACUUAAGAACAUCCAACCUUAAUCAUCUUAUCUGACUUGUGAUCAAAAUCUAAUCAAGUGAUUCUCUUGUAACAUGUUUUACAAGAUUAACAAUUUGGUGGACCUGAUUAACAAUUUGUUCAAAAGAGUAAUCAAUAUCAAAGCAUAAAAAUAAAAAAGAGUAAUCGUUACCAAAUAGCAACAAGUAUCAUUACGUGCCGAUAUUAAAUAGUAACCAGACACAAAUCGGAUAGCAAUCAGUAUCCUUAAUAAUCAUCAUCAAAUAGUGAUCACAC